Non-coding RNA from Erinaceus europaeus (western European hedgehog), 164 nucleotides. The record is from Rfam. Lineage: Eukaryota; Metazoa; Chordata; Mammalia; Eulipotyphla; Erinaceidae.
AAAGCAGGUUGCAAUUACAGUGCUUCAUGUCUGUGGAAGUACUGCCAUUACCCUGCUGAGAGAAAACCUGUGUCAAUCGUUUUUGUUUUUCCUUUUUUUUUCUUUUUCCUUUCUGAUUUUUGCCUUGAUGAGGAUAAAAUCAUGACAGAUGGACACGGACAAGU